Molecule: ribosomal RNA, 548 nt
Filed under: Bacillus thuringiensis
Lineage: Bacteria; Bacillati; Bacillota; Bacilli; Caryophanales; Bacillaceae
Description: bacterial SSU rRNA
Rfam family: Bacterial small subunit ribosomal RNA
Source: RNAcentral
GCCCAUAAGACUGGGAUAACCCACGGAAACGUGAGCUAAUACCGGAUAGGCAUUUUCCUCGCAUGAGGGAGAUGAGAAAGGCGGAGCAAUCUGCCACUUAUGGAUGGACCUGCGGCGCAUUAGCUAGUUGGUAAGGUAACGGCUUACCAAGGCGACGAUGCGUAGCCGACCUGAGAGGGUGAUCGGCCACACUGGGACUGAGACACGGCCCAGACUCCUACGGGAGGCAGCAGUAGGGAAUCUUCCGCAAUGGACGAAAGUCUGACGGAGCAACGCCGCGUGAGUGAUGAAGGUUUUCGGAUCGUAAAGCUCUGUUGCCAGGGAAGAACGCCUAGGAGAGUAACUGCUCUUAGGGUGACGGUACCUGAGAAGAAAGCCCCGGCUAACUACGUGCCAGCAGCCGCGGUAAUACGUAGGGGGCGAGCGUUGUCCGGAAUUAUUGGGCGUAAAGCGCGCGCAGGCGGCAAUGUAAGUUGGGUGUUUAAACCUAGGGCUCAACCUUGGGUCGCAUCCAAAACUGCAUAGCUUGAGUACAGAAGAGGAAAGUG